RNAcentral lists this ribosomal RNA (468 nucleotides) under uncultured bacterium. RNAcentral describes it as "partial 16S ribosomal RNA". It matches the Rfam family "Bacterial small subunit ribosomal RNA", at positions 28 to 507 of the family's 1533-position model. The record is from RNAcentral.
GACGAACGCUGGCGGCGUGCUUAACACAUGCAAGUCGAACGGAAAGGCCCUGCUUUUGUGGGGUGCUCGAGUGGCGAACGGGUGAGUAACACGUGAGUAACCUGCCCUUGACUUUGGGAUAACUUCAGGAAACUGGGGCUAAUACCGGAUAUGAGCUCCUGCUGCAUGGUGGGGGUUGGAAAGUUUCGGCGGUUGGGGAUGGACUCGCGGCUUAUCAGCUUGUUGGUGUGGUAGUGGCUUACCAAGGCUUUGACGGGUAGCCGGCCUGAGAGGGUGACCGGCCACAUUGGGACUGAGAUACGGCCCAGACUCCUACGGGAGGCAGCAGUGGGGAAUAUUGCACAAUGGGCGGAAGCCUGAUGCAGCAACGCCGCGUGCGGGAUGACGGCCUUCGGGUUGUAAACCGCUUUCGACUGUGACGAAGCGUGAGUGACGGUAAUGGGUAAAGAAGCACCGGCUAACUACGUG